UACGAAGGGGGCUAGCGUUGCUCGGAAUCACUGGGCGUAAAGCGCACGUAGGCGGGUUCUUAAGUCAGGGGUGAAAUCCUGGAGCUCAACUCCAGAACUGCCUUUGAUACUGGGAAUCUCGAGUCCGGGAGAGGUGAGUGGAACUGCGAGUGUAGAGGUGAAAUUCGUAGAUAUUCGCAAGAACACCAGUGGCGAAGGCGGCUCACUGGCCCGGUACUGACGCUGAGGUGCGAAAGCGUGGGUAGCAAACAGG
This 253-nucleotide ribosomal RNA is filed under the name uncultured bacterium. Its description in RNAcentral is "partial 16S ribosomal RNA". It matches the Rfam family "Bacterial small subunit ribosomal RNA", at positions 524 to 776 of the family's 1533-position model. The record is from RNAcentral.